UUAUACAGCGAAACUGCGAAUGGCUCAUUAUAUAAGUUAUCGUUUAUUUGAUAGUACCUUACUACUUGGAUAACCGUGGUAAUUCUAGAGCUAAUACAUGCUAAAAAUCCCGACUUCGGAAGGGAUGUAUUUAUUAGAUUAAAAACCAAUGCCCUCUGGGCUCCUUGGUGAUUCAUAAUAACUUUUCGAAUCGCAUGGCCUUGCGCCGGCGAUGGUUCAUUCAAAUUUCUUCCCUAUCAACUUUCGAUGUUUGGGUAUUGGCCAAACAUGGUCGCAACGGGUAACGGAGGGUUAGGGCUCGACCCCGGAGAAGGAGCCUGAGAAACGGCUACUACAUCCAAGGAAGGCAGCAGGCGCGCAAAUUACCCAAUCCCGAUUCGGGGAGGUAGUGACAAUAAAUACUGAUACAGGGCUCUUUUGGGUCUUGUAAUUGGAAUGAGUACAAUUUAAAUCCCUUAACGAGGAACAAUUGGAGGGCAAGUCUGGUGCCAGCAGCCGCGGUAAUUCCAGCUCCAAUAGCGUAUAUUAAAGUUGUUGUGGUUAAAAAGCUCGUAGUUGAACCUUGGGCCUGGCUGGCCGGUCCGCCUCACCGCGUGUACUGGUCCGGCCGGGCCUUUCCCUCUGUGGAACCUCAUGCCCUUCACUGGGUGUGGCGGGGAAACAGGACUUUUACUUUGAAAAAAUUAGAGUGCUCCAGGCAGGCCUAUGCUCGAAUACAUUAGCAUGGAAUAAUGAAAUAGGACGUGUGGUUCUAUUUUGUUGGUUUCUAGGACCGCCGUAAUGAUUAAUAGGGACAGUCGGGGGCAUCAGUAUUCAAUUGUCAGAGGUGAAAUUCUUGGAUUUAUUGAAGACUAACUACUGCGAAAGCAUUUGCCAAGGAUGUUUUCAUUAAUCAGGAACGAAAGUUAGGGGAUCGAAGACGAUCAGAUACCGUCGUAGUCUUAACCAUAAACUAUGCCGACUAGGGAUCGGACGAUGUUAUUUUUUGACGCGUUCGGCACCUUACGAGAAAU
Molecule: ribosomal RNA, 1013 nt
Filed under: Samsoniella hepiali
Lineage: Eukaryota; Fungi; Ascomycota; Sordariomycetes; Hypocreales; Cordycipitaceae
Description: SSU rRNA
Rfam family: Eukaryotic small subunit ribosomal RNA
Source: RNAcentral